This 37-nucleotide ribosomal RNA is filed under the name Cladocopium sp. clade C. Its description in RNAcentral is "partial 28S ribosomal RNA". Lineage: Eukaryota; Dinophyceae; Suessiales; Symbiodiniaceae. The record is from RNAcentral.
UAGCAUGAAGUCUUACUAGUGAGACCCUUCACUUGAA